Non-coding RNA from Picea glauca (white spruce), 121 nucleotides. NCBI's taxonomy places the organism in Eukaryota, Viridiplantae, Streptophyta, Pinopsida, Pinales, Pinaceae. The record is from Rfam.
ACAUGCCUACAACGUAGCGUUAAUGCACCAGAUCCUAUUAGAACUCCGCAGUUAAGCGUGCUCGGGCUAGAGUAGUAUUGGGAAGGGUGACUGCCCGGGAACUCCUAGUAUUUUACAUGCC